AACGAACGCUGGCGGCAUGCCUAACACAUGCAAGUCGAACGAGACCUUCGGGUCUAGUGGCGCACGGGUGCGUAACGCGUGGGAACCUGCCCUUAGGUUCGGAAUAACUCCCCGAAAGGGGUGCUAAUACCGGAUAAUGUCUUCGGACCAAAGAUUUAUCGCCUUUGGAUGGGCCCGCGUUGGUUUAGCUGGUUGGUAGGGUAAAAGCCUACCAAGGCGACGAUCCAUAGCUGGUCUGAGAGGAUGAUCAGCCACACUGGGACUGAGACACGGCCCAGACUCCUACGGGAGGCAGCAGUGGGGAAUAUUGGACAAUGGGCGAAAGCCUGAUCCAGCAAUGCCGCGUGAGUGAUGAAGGCCUUAGGGUUGUAAAGCUCUUUUACCCGGGAUGAUAAUGACAGUACCGGGAGAAUAAGCUCCGGCUAACUCCGUG
Molecule: ribosomal RNA, 433 nt
Filed under: uncultured bacterium
Lineage: Bacteria
Description: partial 16S ribosomal RNA
Rfam family: Bacterial small subunit ribosomal RNA
Source: RNAcentral